Petromyzon marinus (sea lamprey) is the source of this 119-nucleotide ribosomal RNA. The record is from Ensembl. Lineage: Eukaryota; Metazoa; Chordata; Hyperoartia; Petromyzontiformes; Petromyzontidae.
GCUUACGACCAUCUCACCCUGAAUGCGCACGAUCUCGUCUGAUCUAGGAAGCUAAGCAGAGUUGAGCCUGGUUAGUACUUGGAUGGGAGACUGCCUGGGAAUACUAGGUGUUGUAGGCU